RNAcentral lists this ribosomal RNA (253 nucleotides) under uncultured bacterium. RNAcentral's name for it is "partial 16S ribosomal RNA". It matches the Rfam family "Bacterial small subunit ribosomal RNA", at positions 524 to 776 of the family's 1533-position model. The record is from RNAcentral.
UACGGAGGGUGCAAGCGUUAAUCGGAAUAAUUGGGCGUAAAGAGUGCGUAGGUGGUUUGCUAAGUGAGUUGUGAAAGACCUGGGCUUAACCUGGGGGUGUCAACUCAAACGGGCAGACUAGAGUACAGUAGAGGGUCGUGGAAUUUCCGGUGUAGCGGUGAAAUGCGUAGAGAUCGGAAGGAACACCAGUGGCGAAGGCGACGACCUGGGCUGAAACUGACACUGAGGCACGAAAGCGUGGGGAGCAAACAGG